UAUUUUCUAUGUUCCAUGUUCUGUGUUCAAGGCUGGCUGCCAGCAGUGGACUGGAAUUGCUGGGGCUCCACAUCAGCGCUACAGAGAGGCAGA
Long non-coding RNA from Cebus imitator (Panamanian white-faced capuchin), 93 nucleotides. RefSeq lists it as uncharacterized. Lineage: Eukaryota; Metazoa; Chordata; Mammalia; Primates; Cebidae. The transcript has 3 exons. The record is from RefSeq and is a predicted model, not a curated record.